Molecule: ribosomal RNA, 372 nt
Filed under: uncultured bacterium
Lineage: Bacteria
Description: bacterial SSU rRNA
Rfam family: Bacterial small subunit ribosomal RNA
Source: RNAcentral
UACGGAGGGUGCAAGCGUUAUCCGGAUUUACUGGGUUUAAAGGGUGUGUAGGCGGAUCUUUAAGUCAGUGGUGAAAUCUCCGAGCUUAACUUGGAAACUGCCAUUGAUACUAUUGAUCUUGAAUUCUGUUGAGGUGGGCGGAAUAAGUCAUGUAGCGGUGAAAUGCAUAGAUAUGACUUAGAACACCAAUUGCGAAGGCAGCUCGCUAAGCAGAUAUUGACGCUGAGGCACGAAAGCGUGGGGAUCAAACAGGAUUAGAUACCCUGGUAGUCCACGCCCUAAACGAUGAUUACUCGACAUACGCGAUACACAGUGUGUGUCUGAGCGAAAGCAUUAAGUAAUCCACCUGGGAAGUACGACCGCAAGGUUGAA